Molecule: ribosomal RNA, 253 nt
Filed under: uncultured bacterium
Lineage: Bacteria
Description: partial 16S ribosomal RNA
Rfam family: Bacterial small subunit ribosomal RNA
Source: RNAcentral
UACGUAGGGGGCGAGCGUUGUCCGGAAUUAUUGGGCGUAAAGAGCGCGUAGGCGGCCAAGCAGGUCCGUUGUGAAAACUGGAGGCUUAACCUCCAGACGUCGACGGAAACCGCGCGGCUAGAGUCCGGAAGAGGAGAGUGGAAUUCCUGGUGUAGCGGUGAAAUGCGCAGAUAUCAGGAAGAACACCAAUGGCGAAGGCAGCUCUCUGGGACGGUACUGACGCUGAGACGCGAAAGCGUGGGGAGCGAACAGG